UAGACCGAUAGCGAACAAGUAGAGUGAUCGAAAGAUGAAAAGCACUUUGAAAAGAGAGUUAAACAGCACGUGAAAUUGUUGAAAGGGAAGCGCUUGCGACCAGACUCGGCCUCGGGGUUCAGCCAGCAUUCGUGCUGGUGUACUUCCCCGGGGCCGGGCCAGCGUCGGUUCGGGCGGCCGGUCAAAGGCCCCAGGAAUGUAUCGUCCUCCGGGACGUCUUAUAGCCUGGGGUGCAAUGCGGCCAGCCUGGACCGAGGAACGCGCUUCGGCACGGACGCUGGCGUAAUGGUUGCAAACGACCCGUCUUGAAACACKGACCAAGUA
RNAcentral lists this ribosomal RNA (324 nucleotides) under Aspergillus sp. RNAcentral's name for it is "partial large subunit ribosomal RNA". The record is from RNAcentral. Lineage: Eukaryota; Fungi; Ascomycota; Eurotiomycetes; Eurotiales; Aspergillaceae.